UACAGGGGGUGCAAACGUUGCUCGGAAUCAUUGGGCGUAAAGAGCGUGUAGGCGGCCAGACAGGUCCGUUGUGAAAACUCGAGGCUCAACCUCGAGACGCCGAUGGAAACCGUUUGGCUAGAGUCCGGAAGAGGAGAGUGGAAUUCCUGGUGUAGCGGUGAAAUGCGCAGAUAUCAGGAGGAACACCGGUGGCGAAGGCGGGGUCUCUGGGCAGUAACUGACGCUGAGGAGCGAAAGCGUGGGGAGCGAACAGG
This 254-nucleotide ribosomal RNA is filed under the name uncultured bacterium. RNAcentral describes it as "partial 16S ribosomal RNA". It matches the Rfam family "Bacterial small subunit ribosomal RNA", at positions 524 to 776 of the family's 1533-position model. The record is from RNAcentral.